Molecule: long non-coding RNA, 8579 nt
Organism: Mesocricetus auratus (golden hamster)
Lineage: Eukaryota; Metazoa; Chordata; Mammalia; Rodentia; Cricetidae
Exons: 5
Source: RefSeq, a predicted model, not a curated record
CCCAGUUGCCAUGGGCAGUUCUGAUCCCGGAAACUGAAGGUACAGUUUCAACAAUAUCACUUUGAAUUUAAUAUCCACAAGCAGACUCACUUGAGUUUCUACUUUUUUGUAGUGAAAAAGAAUCCAAAGAGUAAGAUGCAUUAAUACAAAGGUAUUCAGACAUAGGGUGUGCUGUGAAAGAAGGCUCAGAGAGAGACCCAAGAGUCAACAGAGAGGUGUUGACAGGUGACAUGGGAACUGCAGAAGGUGAACAUUAGAAAAAUGAGAAACCACAGGGAAAUGCCUGAAAAGAUGUAAAAACAGACAUGCAAUCCCCAUACAUGGCUAUUUGACAUGGGGCUUCUUUGAUGUUGUUAAAGUCCUGGUAAUUCCAUGUCAUAGAUGUUUUGAAGUGUGGGGAGGAAAUGAGACCUGGCCUAUUGGGUUAGACAUUGAGAUUGUGUUCAUCAUCUUUCCAGAAGCUCUUGCCCACAUCUUUACUCCUGGCAGCUGCUGGGAUUUCAUUGUAGGAGUCAAUUUCAUCUUAGAAGCUUGUUUUCAUUUUGUUAGUGAUUGGUAUGCAGAUGGAUCUGAGACUCUGUGUCACCAAUGGGCUACAAGGUGUGAUGAUUAGUAUUAGUUGUCAGUUUGAUUGGGCUGGUAGGAAGUUAGUGGAGCAUACCUCUGGGUGUUUCUGUGACUUUGUUUCCAGAGAUGAUUAUAUCAUGAGGGCUCUGACCUAGUCAAUGCAUAAUCCUUUUAUUGACUCAUAAGAUGGUGGCAUUAUAGGAGGCAGGGCCUUUGGAAGAAGUCGGUCAGUGGAUGUGUCUUUAUGCUGUGGUCCCCCUUCUCCACCCUUGGCUGCUUUGGUGUGAGGUCACAUGCUGUGCCAGACCUUCUUCUCCAUGAUUGACUGAGUCCUCUGAAACCAUCAGCCAAAGUCCAUCUUUCCUUCAGUAAGUUGAUUCUGUUGGGUAUUUGGUCAGUGUGAAGAGAAAAAUAAUGAAUACACAAGGGGAAAUUUACAGAGGACUUCCCCUCCUGGAUCCAGAGAAAACCUAGGACAUCACCAUGAUGAUCUAUGGUUUCUAAUUCUCGCAUUCAGAAGGCAGGGUGAUUUCAGUUUUGAAGGCAGUCUGGAUUAGAUAGGCGGCCCUGAUAACAAAGACACACAAACAACAACCAAAAGAAGGAGGAAGAACAAAGCUUUUGCCUUUUACCUCUACCUUUGCUUGCCUGCUGGGAUGCCAGUAAGCUCUUAGGGUACAUGGAGUGUUGUUAGCCAACUCUGGAGUCUGAGAUGACAGACAUUCCCAUGGGAAAUCAAUACACAGAGCAGGAAAGUGGGAGAUGUAUUCUAGAGGACCAACCUUCCCUGAAGCCAUGCCCCCUUAGACUCUUUAUGGGGAAAUAACGAAUAAUCUUUGUUCUUUUAUGAUAUUGAAGGCAAUCAAGCCUUGAGACUCGAGCAUGCUAAACUAUCAGUCUACCACUGAACUACACCCCCAGUCCAACAAUGAUUAAUCUUUAUGGCUUUCACUGUGUGUUGGGGAAAGUGUUUUCCUCAUGAUCUAUCACAGGCUAAGAGAACAACCCACUUCUGUCUUAUAUGUUCCUAUUUCUUAUGUUUUUUAAAGUGUAUUUUUGUUUUCAAAAACAAAAACAGUGUGGCAUGUACUGUAUGUACUACCUAAUGAUCAAAUUAGAGUAAUUAGCAUAUCUGUCCCCAUAGAUAUUCAGCACUUCUUUGUGCUAGGAGCAUUGAGGAUCUGCUAUACUAGCUGUUUUGAACUAUCCAUUAAGUGUCUCUAGAAUGCUUCCUGUUUCUUUAAAUGUGUUAAACUAAGUUCUUAAGAAAUGACACAUAUUUUUUACAUAUCUGAAAAAUCCAAAGAGCUAAGCAAAAGGUUACGGGAAAAAAAUGCAGUUCCUUACAAAAAUAACAGGCUACAACAAUAUUUGUUAGAUAUCAUGAGAACGUCAUUGGCUUUGAAAAACAUUGUAUGAUGUCUGGCAGUGUUGAUCUUGGAUGUGGUUAUCUCACUCUCUGCCCAAUGUGUGGAUUCCCACUGAGAGGAAGCCUCCUCCUUCCCCUCUUUCUGUUCCGAUGAUGCUAACAAUCCCUUUAUGACAGACACAGCGAAGAAUGCAUUUGGUUGAGAGACAAAUGGGGGAAUGCAUUCAAUUCCCAUAAGGACUUAUGAGUCACUCUAAAACACAAACUCCCUGCCUUGUGUCUGCAGUGAUUUGCUCUCACCUGUUUCCAGGAGUGUGUGCUUUAUGCCAACAGCAGCGGUCACCUCUGAGCGUCGGGCGCUGUUUGUCAAUAGACGUUUGGUGGUAGGAGGUUUUGAUCUGUGCCUUUUGAUCCAGCUUGGUAUUUUCAUGUAGUUUAGAUUAAUGAAACAUGAAGGAAUUUCAGCAUAAUGCAUGCAUCCCGUUUUGCUCUUUGAGGACUUGUUAAUUAUGUGCAUUAUCUUCCUAUAAGGAAACUAGAAUCACUACUCAGCUCUGUGCUUUAACUUUUUGCCCAGAGAUUCCGGUUGAUUCUUUCUCUGUUGCUGCUGCUGCUGCUGGUUUCUUUUGAAAAUUCUUGUAAUAAAACAGGGACAAGAACUUAGUCUUUGCUGCUGCCAAUAACAGAAAAUUCUUCAGCCCCGCCCCAUCCUUCAUCAUGGGGAAAAAGUGAUGCUGGCAAUGCCUGGGACUGAAGGCCAUGCUGCCUGGCUUUGUGGGGACAGAUGGUCAUUGCUCAUCAUGUUAGCAAGAAGCUUGAUGCUCACUUCUGGACAUCAGCUGCUCUCUGUGUCUAUUAAGUGAUAAUUUAGCUUCAGGUGGCACCUACCCUGGUGCUAUCUGUUUGGUUUCCUGCUUUUAUAAUGGAAAAUAUUUGGACAGUGGCACUUACCUUGCUGUCUUUCACUCUGAAACAAAGGCUUUCAGUAGAACAACUAAGACAGCCCCCAAAUAAGACUGCUUGUGACCCUGCUUUGCCAACAAGGUAUUCUGAAUUUAGAACCCCAAGAGACAAUCUUGCAAGUUCUCUGAAACAGAAUUCUUUUUAUAUAUAUAUAUAUAUAUGACUUAUAUGGAUUAACUAAAUUAGUCUCCUCAGCACCGUAUUUCCAUUUAAGGACAAUAUAAUUUAAGUACCGACAUGGGAAAAUGUCCAAGGAUAUAAGAAGCAAAGGGGAAGUAGCAGGACACUUUGCAUAAUAUAGUAAGUAUUGCCACAAAAAUACGUUAACAAAAGGUAAUAUAUUUGGUUCUUGUGUGCAUUUCCUAGUAGAUAACUGUGGAUCCAGAGUCAAAAUGAAGUGACAUUCAGUUUCAUGAAAAAUUUUGAGAGACAUUGAAAACAUAAACAAAGCAGAUACAACCUGUGAAUAUAAGGGUAAUCAGAGAACAUUCCUGAUAAUUGGAUUUCAUCACCAUGACCAAGUACCCAAGAUUUCUGCGGGGCCAGCACAGGAAAACCACCCGGAUCAGGGGACCCGCGUGGAGCUCUUCCCUCCUCCCGCUCACCCGCCUGCGCAGAGCUGCAGGUCUUGCUGUUGUCUAGGCUCAUCUCCAGCUCCUGGGCUCAACUGAUCCUCCUGCCUCAGCCUCCUCAUUAACUGCGACCCCAGGCAGGAGUCACAGCUCCUUUUGUGCCUCAAUAUCACCUUUGGCCAUUCAGUUGUUGAAUGAGAUGCUGUCUCCGUGGGAGUGGUUUUGCUGGGCAUUUUUAUUGUUUGCGUGGGACAGGAAAGUUGUAACUUCCUAUUUGCUGCUAUAUUCCAGUAUAUGGUAAGUAUCUUUGGAUGACAGAAAGAGUAGGGCAGAGAUGGUAGGCUGUGAACAGCAAGGGGCGGCACAAGGAAGAGACAGGGAAUGGUCAAGGGUACUCUGCUGAGGGCUCUGUGUAGAACAGGCUCCCCUGUUUCCACUUACGCUUCAAGCUUAUAGGUAAAGGCUAGAGAACUCCUACCUUACCCUAGGGUUCCGACUGUGCACACUUAUGUUAUUUGCUACAAGGAAACCAGCUGAACUGAACAAUAGCCAGGAAGUCAUCCUUUAGGUCUCACAGACAUGAAACCUAUUCUUUAGUGUAGCCAAGCAUACAAUGCCAUUUUGUGGUACCUUCUAUCUAACUUGCCUUCCCCUGUUGGUUGACUAUUGAUAAAUCAGCAGGAAACUCAGUUUCAGACUUAGACUUCCUCUUAGCAUGAAUUCGAAUGAGUACUCAUCCUUCUAGUUCCAGCUUCUUCAUAUGGAAAGUGGGGGAAAUUCAUUGCUCAACCAAGAAUGAUUGAUCCAUCAGGUGUAAUGCUGCAUGCCUUUAAUCCCAACACUCAGGAGGCAGAGGCAGGAGGAUGGGGGUGAGCUUGUGGCUGGCCUAGGCUCCAUAUUGAGAUUCUGUUUCAAAAACAAAACCUUCAAAGACAGAAAUAUUGAACACCUGUAACGUGGCGGUUGUUAAGCUAGAGACUGGGAAUUUAGAAUUCAAGAGGAACUUACAAUCAAAUGUGGGGAAAUAGAUACUAAGUGAGAAACAAAGAGAAUUCCAUGUAAUGGAAGUCUCACACUACAAGUCACCAACCAGUCAACGGAGUGGAAAAGGGAGAGAAGACAACAGUUCUCAAGCGAAUCUGCACUUGACAUGUCGCCCUCCUGUUACUUAGUAUCUAUAUUGAUUAGCAGAUCAACUGCUGACAUAGCGCAGAGCUCGCGUUCAAAUAGCCCUAAUAAAGUACUCUGGUGCUGUGUCCCAGAGCUCCUGUCCCACAUGCCACGUUCUCUCUCAGCAGCACAGGGAGAAGGUUAAGUGCACACAGUACACUAAACUACUUUUUAGAUUGAGAAAGAGUGUUCACUCUGCUCUUACUGCAGAAUGUUGUGAUUGUUCUCUUCUGUUGUUGUCCUUUCACAUUUAACAAUAAUUUGUAUAAAAAACAGAACUCUUUGAUAUUGUAACAAAUACUGAAAACACCCAACUUACAAGUAGAUUGAUUUGGGCUUCCCGUUUCAGAGAUUUCAAUAAGAGACGCUUCUGGAUUCAUAGUAUGUCAGCGCACCAUUUUGAUGGGAUGUAUGGUUGAGAUGCUUGCCUCAGUCAGAAUAUGAAAAAGAGAGGAAGUGAGACUGGGUCCCUGUGUGCCCUUCCGGGGUGCACCUUUAAGGACUUAAGACUUAGUAUAGUCCUAAAGUUCUUUCAGCCCUUCCUCUUACAGGUCCUCCCAAUGCCAUUAGCUCUGUGGACUGUGAAACAACGGUCCACCAAGUGGCCCUUUGGGAACAUCCCAGAUCCAAAUUUUAGCAGGAUCUUUUGCAAACCAGAAUGUCACAGCUUUUCUCCAGGUAAAGCACUUGGGGAAUGACUUGAGUUAUUAGCUCAACCAGCUGUUUUGCUUGGUUUUGUUUUUCUUCUUGUAACUCUACUUUAACUUAAAAAUGAUUGAUGGGGAAAUCACUGUUAGGAAGACUUGGAUAAUUUUUUCUCAAAAUAUAUAAAAGUAUCGAGCCUGCCAUUUUGAGAAAAAUAACUGACAAUAUUUGUUACCAAUAAUAAAGUUCAAGCUCCCAAGUAAAAGUUAAACUUCUGGGAAACUUCUAUCUUCCACUAUAACUUGGUAUGAGUUCCAGUGCUUUUUUGUUUCUUAUUUUUUGAUGAGGUCAGUGUUGACAUUCAUGCAUUUGAUUUUGACUGGGGGUAAUGAGAUGUGUCAACAUUUGAAAGAUCAGCAUAACUCAGCAAACUACUGUUUUCUAAAUAACCAGUGUGUGUUGCAAAAUCAGGAAUGGGUGAAAAGGCCACUCCAAGUGUCUGCCUGGCAAUAUAUUUUAAUAUCAUGGGCAGAAAACGUCAUAGACUUGAUUGAUUUUAGAUUUCACAUUGUCACCAGUGCCUUCAGAAACUUCUAUACUAAAGAAGAAUAUAUGUUAUUGUCUAGAAAGUCUAUUAACAUAUUACUUGUUUUUCUAACUACGUAAAUCUACAAGGUCAGAUUUUCUUCAGUGACUUCAACCAAAACAGUGUAUUUCAACAGGCUGAAUGGUAAAGGGGUUAUGGAACCCAGAUCCUUUCUCUCAAGCUGAACAUUAAAGAGAACUGCAAAACUACAAACCAGUGCCACUUAAAUAAUCUUUUAGAAAAAUGUAGUCUUUUUUUCAUAAAAAUGCAUGACUUAUCUCACCUUGCAAUGAAUUUUAUUGUUAUUUAAAUGAAUUAACAAAUUAAUGCUUUGCAUUCUUUAUAUGGAAAUGUUAUCAAAUAUAACCCACAAAAAUUUUAAAAAAACAAACAAACUUCUUUUUUAAGUAUAAAGGUCUUGAAUCAGGUUCUUCAGAAUACAAGAACCCUGAAAUAGGCUGUUCUCUGGAUGUCUCUUUCUGAGGCAAUGUCUGUGCUGAGGUCCAGAGGAAGAGUUUGCCAUGAAAGAAGAAGGCAAAGGGUUAAAGGUGGGAAAGAGCUUGUGUUUUAGGAAAAGAAAAGCCUGCUACACAGGUUUACAGAGAUUAUUAACUUAAAUGAAAAAAUGCACACGCUACUCUUUGGCGCAGUGCCUGGCACAUGGUGUGUGAUAAACUUGUGCUGAGAAUCGGAUUCUGUGGAGGUUGUACAGUCAUGGCUGGAGGCCUGCAGUGGGACACAUACAUUUGGGACUCGUCGGCAGAUCUCCUAGGCCAUUGGGUAAUGGACCACAUUUCUGUAUUCUUCAGGGUUUUUUCCAAAAAAUUAUGUUUCAAAGAGCCACCUAGAGUUAACUUCUAGGCAAAACAGUUUCCCAUGCCAGCUCCAAGUUCUGUCUUCUGUACACUGGUGAGAAUAAUCUGUGUCCACCAUAGGUUUUUAUGAUAAUCUGGGGAAAAAACACGUGAAUGCAAGCAGGUCAGCAAAUGCACAGAGUGCCCAGAACUGUGCUUGUACUGCCAGAGUGGCUCAAUAUGCAUCUACUCAAUGCACUGAGUUCAAGCAAACAUACUAACGAGCUGGGUGUGAUAGUAUAGGUCCACAAUCUCAGCACUCAGGAGGCUGAGGCAAGAGGGUCAUGAGUUCAAAGAAAGCCUGAGCUACACAGAGAGAGACCUAGUUUCAAACAACAAAGAUAAAUAGGCUAUUGUGUCCUGCUGAGUGAAUGAGUUAGAAAACACAACCUCAAGAAUCAAGAACCUUUCCAAGACUUCAAGCCUCCAAUGUCCAACUCAACAUAUAAUCUUGGACAAAGUUCCUGGGCACUUUGAGUGUUUUUUACUGCUUUCUGGAGCCUACAGGCAUACAGGCAUGAGAAGAGUCACUGCCCUUUAAGUGCAUAAAUCUGCUUCUAACAAAUUAAGGAAAAAUAUUUUUUAAUUUAUGUAGAUAUGUAAUUGUUUAUGUAUUUGCAUAUGCAUAUGGGUGUUCUCAGACCCAGAAGAGGAUGUCAUAUCCCUUAGGGCUAGAGUUAUAGGUGGUUGUGAGUUGCCUAGUGUGUUUGCUGAGAGCAGCAGAUGCUCUUAACCUCUGAACCAUUGUGCCUUCCAAGGGCACACCUCCCAUUAGGCUCUGCUUCCCAAGCAGAGAACUAAGUCUUUGAUGCAUGGGUCUUUGGGGAACCCAUGCUUGAAGAUCGAGCAGUGAGGAUCACAGGGCAGCUGAAUCAAAUUUUAUUGAGGUGAGGUUCAGCCAUUAUGAUUGACAUUUUUAAAUUUCUUCAGAUGAUUCCAAGGUCACCCACAGUUGACAACAACUAGCGUACAAGCUUUGUUGCUAGCCUGGACCUAGUCCGUUAUUGUAUCCAAGCACAAUUCUCACCUGUCCCCACCUUUGUUCAGCUUCCCAAUCCUUGUUUUCAUGAGUCAUCUUCUUUCAGAGGUAUUUUUACCAAAUUUAUCAAUGCAGCCUUGACUUGUUUUUUAUGGUAGGGUUUGGCCAUAUGACAUUGGGCUCUGUAGGGUCAGUGUUAAGAUGCAUUCUUUCCUUUCCUAAUGUAGGUCUCAGUAGCACUGCUCUCAAGCUCUCAUGACCACUGCUACUUAAGACACAGAAGGUCAUGUUUGUUCCUAGGUUCUCAAGACCAAGCACCCACUGUUCUAACCCCUGAAUUUACCGUCACUCCAUUGCCUAUGCUCAUGUUCUACAGCAAAGAAUGGUGGUGUAUACCUACAGUCCAAGCUUCUCUGGAGGAUGAGAGCCUUCAACCAGAAACUGAUUGAACCAGGGGCAGAGAUCCACAACCAAGAACCAGUCCAAGAUCCCGGAAUCCAAUCUGAAGAGAGGGAGGAGGGAACAUAUGAGCAAGGGAGGUCAAGACCAUGAUGGAGAAAUCUACAGAAACAGCUGAACCAAGCUCAUGGAAACUCAAAAACUAUAGACUGCCAGCUGUGGAGCCUCCAUGGGACUGAACCAGGCCCUCUGUAUGUGGGAGACAGUUGUGAAACUUGGACUAUCUGAGAGGCUCCUGGCAGUAGCACCAGGAUCUGUCCCUGGUACAUGAGCUAGCUUUUUUGGAGCCCAUUCCCUAUGGUAGGAUGCCAUGCUCAGGCUUAAUGCAUGGGAGAGGGGCUUGGUCCUGCUCCAUCUUAGUGUGCCAGACUUUGUCGAAUCCUCAUGGAAGCCCUUAUCCUUUGGGAGGAGUGAA